CGCCUGAGCUUUACAAGAAGUUUUCAACGAGAGCUCCCGUCACCACGGCGUGGUCAUCCACCAGCAGUACCAAGACCAAAACUACCACUACCACACCCUAUUUGAACUUUAUGUGUCAACACCCAUGCUUGGAACUCUAUGAAGAUUUCGGCAUAGUUUGUGCACAACGGUUCAACGGUUUACAGUACGAAAUGAAGCAAUUCAACGAUACGUGCGACCUCUACUUCGCUAACUGUAUAAGCCCAUACAACAAGAACAAAUGGGACUGGCACGUGGGUAAGUGGUACCUAGUCUACCGAGGUCCAUGCUGGGAGUUAUCAACGACGUUCGCUCCACCGCCGGUUAUACCUACCAGUUUGAAGAGCCGAGCCAACUUUUGGCUGUCCAAAGUGUACUAUAAUAAGAAAAAUAAUGUGUAUGACUUGCAUUUUUAGGGUCGAACCGCAUUUGCGCCGCGCAGCGCGGC
Ostrinia nubilalis (European corn borer) is the source of this 466-nucleotide long non-coding RNA. RefSeq lists it as uncharacterized. Lineage: Eukaryota; Metazoa; Arthropoda; Insecta; Lepidoptera; Crambidae. The record is from RefSeq and is a predicted model, not a curated record. The transcript has 4 exons.